UUGUCCAAUGGAGGCCGCCAUUUCUAUUGUUUAGCUGUCAAAAAAUGGUGAUUAUUUCCGUCACAAUCACAAGCGAUCGGUGCGCCCAUAAAACACCAACCGACACGAAAUAGACUGCGUUGAUAUCGAAUAAACCAUAAAUAAUUAGCACAUGUCGUAACCAGGUCUUCUGUUCAUAUUCAGACCAACUUUCUUCCUCUUCGUAUGAUUUUCGUUCCGGACAACAUGGCGAUAUCGCUCCGCAGUUAAUUUACAAAAAUGACAAUAUGUCCUGUCAUAGUUAUCACAACAAGUGUAUAAUUCCUUAAAUAAUAAAAUACUUUUGAUGCCGAAUUGAAUUUCACAAAUGUAGGAGUAUUACUACAGAAAAAGAAAUCAUAAUAUCCAGAUCGGACUGUUAAUGCGGCCUCACUUCCGGCAAUGUGCAUCAGACGUCAACAACAUGAAGCUGAUGAGAAACCGCUGAGAUGCAGAAGAUCGACAAUGUUUAUUUGUUCACAGGUGUGCAGGACAACUAAUUUAAGCCAUAUAAGCACAUGUCAAAUAACAACUGAUCUCGUACAGUUCAUCUCGACGAAUUGAAGCCUCAUCCAGAAGUUCCUUAUAGAAAUGCACGAAGAACAUUGAAUUAAAUUUGUCUGACGACUCAUUUUCCACCAGAGGUCAUUGAAACACACAAAGUGGCAAUCUACAACUGUACAGUACUCAGUUUUAUAGGAAUGAUGGAUUUGAUGAUGCAGUGUAUAGAAAUCUCUAUGAAGGGGAUGACAAGGUUUACAGAAUUGACUAUUUGCAGGAUUACGUGGUUGCCUGACAGUUACCCCAUCAUUGUGUGUUUGUAAAUAUUGGUAGCUACAAUUAUGAUAUGGUGAUAACAGAUGGGAUGAUGUUGUCGUGGUAUCUUCCUCACUAAGCAAAAGACAUGUAAGCUUUUUUCACGUCUGCAACAACAUGUAAAGCAACAUUCCAAAGUUUGAACAUUCGCGUGUGAUGUACUGGAACACUCAAAUCGUACCGGAGUAGCCCACCGUGAAAGUAAAACUUGACUGAUUUAGUUGGCCGAAACUUGCAGAGAAUAUUGUUUUACGGAUAUGUAAAUUGGUAAAUAUGCCAAAAUUAUUCCAAAAGCUUCAAUAAUGAUGAACAGUUAUCAAAUUGAAAUUUGACACAUGAUCCAACCGCUAAAAUGAUAGCACAAUACAUCAACUUGAAAUUUUAUGUAUGGAAUUUAUGUCAAUUUCAUUGAAGAAUUGGUAUUUAUUUUUAUUCAAAAAUUACAAAUAUACCUAGUAACUUAUAUACAUGCCCGUUAUGGAUUGCCACCCUACUAUUCCGUUGACAUAUAAGGUGACACUGGGUUUACUGUUUUAUACGAUGAUUCAAAUGUCUUGUAUGUGUAUGUAAUAUGCUAAUUAAUGUAAUUAUCAAUAUAAAUCAACUACUG
Long non-coding RNA from Mizuhopecten yessoensis (Yesso scallop), 1444 nucleotides. RefSeq lists it as uncharacterized. Lineage: Eukaryota; Metazoa; Mollusca; Bivalvia; Pectinida; Pectinidae. The transcript is spliced from 3 exons. The record is from RefSeq and is a predicted model, not a curated record.